Molecule: ribosomal RNA, 252 nt
Filed under: uncultured bacterium
Lineage: Bacteria
Description: partial 16S ribosomal RNA
Rfam family: Bacterial small subunit ribosomal RNA
Source: RNAcentral
UACGGAGGAUGCGAGCGUUAUCCGGAUUUAUUGGGUUUAAAGGGUGCGCAGGCGGCACGGCAAGCCGGCGGUCAAAUCGCGGGGCUCAACCCCGCCCAGCCGUCGGAUCUGCCGGGCUAGAGUGGGCGAGAAGUGCGCGGAAUGCGUGGUGUAGCGGUGAAAUGCAUAGAUAUCACGCAGAACUCCGAUUGCGAAGGCAGCGCACCGGCGCCCUACUGACGCUCAGGCACGAAAGCGUGGGUAUCGAACAGG